RNAcentral lists this ribosomal RNA (337 nucleotides) under uncultured bacterium. RNAcentral's name for it is "bacterial SSU rRNA". It matches the Rfam family "Bacterial small subunit ribosomal RNA", at positions 8 to 335 of the family's 1533-position model. The record is from RNAcentral.
AGAGUUUGAUCCUGGCUCAGAUUGAACGCUGGCGACGUGCUUAACACAUGCAAGUCGUGCGAGAAAGUAGGCUUCGGUCUAUGAGUAGAGCGGCGCACGGGUGAGUAACGCGUGGAUGAUCUACCCUUGAGUUCGGGAUAACGGUGCGAAAGCGCCGCUAAUACCGUAUAACAAUCCAUUUCAUCGUGGGUUCAAAGCAGGCCUCUUCGUGAAAGCUUGCGCUUGGGGAUGAGUCCGCGUCCCAUUAGCUUGUUGGCGGGUAACGGCCACCAAGGCUACGAUGGGUAGCUGGUCUGAGAGGAUGAUCAGCCACACUGGAACUGAAACACGGUCCAGA